CAACACCCUAAAAGCUAGCCCCCCAUUUAAAAACCAACAAACCCCCAUUAAUACCCCCAAAUAAAAAUAACAUCAACAAACAAACCAUUUUCCCCCCUUAGUAUGGGAGACAGAAAAGGAACACCGGCGCUAUAGAAAAAGUACCGCAAGGGAACGCUGAAAGAGAGAUGAAACAGCCCAGCAAAGGAAAAGAAAGCAGAGACUAAUACUCGUACCUUUUGCAUCAUGACUUAGCAAGCACCCCCAAGCAAAGAGCCCUUAAUGUUUGACCCCCCGAAACUGGACGAGCUACUCCAAGACAGCCUAUUAUAGGGCGAACCCGUCUCUGUGGCAAAAGAGUGGGAAGAGCUUCGAGUAGAGGUGACAGACCUACCGAGCCCAGUUAUAGCUGGUUGCCUGAAAAUUGAAUAGAAGUUCAGCCUAUUGAAUGCUUACACCAAAUUAGAGCACCCUCACCCCAAGGACAAAAGCAGUUAAUAGAGUUAUUCAAGAGGGGGACAGCUCUCUUGAACAAAGAUACAACUUUUAUAGAAGGCCAAAGACCAAAUAACCUAAAGGCCAAGUACCCAGGUGGGCCUAAAAGCAGCCACCCUAAUAGAAGGCGUUAAAGCCUAAGUACACAGCCCCCUAUAAUUUUGGUAAACUAAUCUUACACCUCUUAACACAUCAGGCCCUCCUACGCAAGCGUAGGAGAGAAACUGCUAAUAUGAGUAAUAAGAAAAAGACUUUCUCCUCGCCCCCGUGUAGCCAGAACAAACCCCAGCUGAAAAUUAACGCCCCAUAAUAAUGAAGGCACUGAGACACACAACAAUUAAACCAGAAAACCCCUCAGCCGACAGCGUUAGUCCCACACCGGAGGGCUCAAGGAAAGACUAAAAGGAAAAGAAGGAACUCGGCAAACCCUGGCCUCGCCUGUUUACCAAAAACAUCGCCUCUUGCAAUACUAGUAUAAGAGGUCCCGCCUGCCCUGUGACGAAAGUUUAACGGCCGCGGUAUUUUGACCGUGCGAAGGUAGCGUAAUCACUUGUCCUUUAAAUGGGGACCUGUAUGAAUGGCACAACGAGGGCCAUGCUGUCUCCUUUUCCCAGUCAAUGAAAUUGAUCUGUCCGUGCAGAAGCGGACAUAACAACAUAAGACGAGAAGACCCUAUGGAGCUUAAAGCACCGAAAUAGCCUAAGUCAAAACCCCCUAGUUAAAGGGAACAAACUAAGUAGAAACUAAAUCGCUGCUUUUGGUUGGGGCGACCGCGGAGCAAAACAAAACCCCCGCGCGGAACAGGCCACUAAAGCCUUAAAACUAGGGCCACAGCCCGAACAAAACGGAAAUUCCGACCCACAAGAUCCGGCAAUGCCGAUCAACGGACCCAGUUACCCUAGGGAUAACAGCGCAAUCCCCUUUUAGAGCCCAUAUCGACAAGGGGGUUUACGACCUCGAUGUUGGAUCAGGACUUCCUAAUGGUGCAGCCGCUAUUAAGGGUUCGUUUGUUCAACGAUUAAAGUCCU
This 1502-nucleotide ribosomal RNA is filed under the name Aboma etheostoma (scaly goby). RNAcentral's name for it is "partial 16S ribosomal RNA". It matches the Rfam family "Bacterial large subunit ribosomal RNA", at positions 361 to 2597 of the family's 2925-position model. Lineage: Eukaryota; Metazoa; Chordata; Actinopteri; Gobiiformes; Gobiidae. The record is from RNAcentral.